Non-coding RNA from Rattus norvegicus (Norway rat), 69 nucleotides. The record is from Rfam. Lineage: Eukaryota; Metazoa; Chordata; Mammalia; Rodentia; Muridae.
GGAGAUUUAGCUCAGUGGUAGAGCACUUGCCCAGCAAGAGCAAGACCCUGGGUUCGGUCCCCAGCUCCA